This 727-nucleotide ribosomal RNA is filed under the name uncultured Bacilli bacterium. RNAcentral's name for it is "bacterial SSU rRNA". It matches the Rfam family "Bacterial small subunit ribosomal RNA", at positions 48 to 731 of the family's 1533-position model. The record is from RNAcentral. Lineage: Bacteria; Bacillati; Bacillota; Bacilli.
CUAAUACAUGCAAGUCGUACGCACUGGCCCAACUGAUUGAUGGUGCUUGCACCUGAUUGACGAUGGAUCACCAGUGAGUGGCGGACGGGUGAGUAACACGUAGGUAACCUGCCCCGGAGCGGGGGAUAACAUUUGGAAACAGAUGCUAAUACCGCAUAACAACAAAAGCCACAUGGCUUUUGUUUGAAAGAUGGCUUUGGCUAUCACUCUGGGAUGGACCUGCGGUGCAUUAGCUAGUUGGUAAGGUAACGGCUUACCAAGGCGAUGAUGCAUAGCCGAGUUGAGAGACUGAUCGGCCACAAUGGAACUGAGACACGGUCCAUACUCCUACGGGAGGCAGCAGUAGGGAAUCUUCCACAAUGGGCGCAAGCCUGAUGGAGCAACACCGCGUGAGUGAAGAAGGGUUUCGGCUCGUAAAGCUCUGUUGUUGGAGAAGAACGUGCGUGAGAGUAACUGUUCACGCAGUGACGGUAUCCAACCAGAAAGUCACGGCUAACUACGUGCCAGCAGCCGCGGUAAUACGUAGGUGGCAAGCGUUAUCCGGAUUUAUUGGGCGUAAAGCGAGCGCAGGCGGUUGCUUAGGUCUGAUGUGAAAGCCUUCGGCUUAACCGAAGAAGUGCAUCGGAAACCGGGCGACUUGAGUGCAGAAGAGGACAGUGGAACUCCAUGUGUAGCGGUGGAAUGCGUAGAUAUAUGGAAGAACACCAGUGGCGAAGGCGGCUGUCUG